AUUGAACGCUGGCGGCAGGCUUAACACAUGCAAGUCGAACGAUGACUCUCUAGCUUGCUAGAGAUGAUUAGUGGCGGACGGGUGAGUAACAUUUAGGAAUCUACCUAGUAGUGGGGGAUAGCCCGGGGAAACUCGAAUUAAUACCGCAUACGACCUACGGGUGAAAGGGGGCGCAAGCUCUUGCUAUUAGAUGAGCCUAAAUCAGAUUAGCUAGUUGGUGGGGUAAAGGCCCACCAAGGCGACGAUCUGUAACUGGUCUGAGAGGAUGAUCAGUCACACCGGAACUGAGACACGGUCCGGACUCCUACGGGAGGCAGCAGUGGGGAAUAUUGGACAAUGGGGGCAACCCUGAUCCAGCCAUGCCGCGUGUGUGAAGAAGGCCUUGUGGUUGUAAAGCACUUUAAGCAGGGAGGAGAGGCUGAUGGAUAAUACCCAGUAGAUUAGACGUUACCUGCAGAAUAAGCACCGGCUAACUCUGUG
This 480-nucleotide ribosomal RNA is filed under the name uncultured bacterium. RNAcentral describes it as "partial 16S ribosomal RNA". It matches the Rfam family "Bacterial small subunit ribosomal RNA", at positions 30 to 507 of the family's 1533-position model. The record is from RNAcentral.